This 424-nucleotide ribosomal RNA is filed under the name uncultured bacterium. RNAcentral's name for it is "bacterial SSU rRNA". It matches the Rfam family "Bacterial small subunit ribosomal RNA", at positions 29 to 457 of the family's 1533-position model. The record is from RNAcentral.
AUUGAACGCUGGCGGCAGGCCUAACACAUGCAAGUCGAGCGUGAAAGGGCUUCGGCCUGAGUAAAGCGGCGGACGGGUGAGUAACGCGUAGGAAUCUACCUGGUAGUGGGGGAUAACGUUCCGAAAGGGACGCUAAUACCGCAUACGUUCCGAGGAAGAAAGCGGGGGAUCGCAAGACCUCGCGCUAUCAGAUGAGCCUGCGUCCGACUAGCUAGUUGGUGGGGUAAAGGCCUACCAAGGCGACGAUCGGUAACUGGUCUGAGAGGAUGAUCAGUCACACUGGAACUGAGACACGGUCCAGACUCCUACGGGAGGCAGCAGUGGGGAAUAUUGGACAAUGGGCGCAAGCCUGAUCCAGCCAUGCCGCGUGUGUGAAGAAGGCCUCGGUUGUAAGUACGACUUAAGUACGGGAGGGAGGGACCGU